RNAcentral lists this ribosomal RNA (460 nucleotides) under bacterium AER14D. RNAcentral describes it as "bacterial SSU rRNA". It matches the Rfam family "Bacterial small subunit ribosomal RNA", at positions 72 to 529 of the family's 1533-position model. The record is from RNAcentral.
GCGCGGGGCAACCUGGCGGCGAGUGGCGAACGGGUGAGUAAUAUAUCGGAACGUACCCAAGAGUGGGGGAUAACGUAGCGAAAGUUACGCUAAUACCGCAUACGAUCUAUGGAUGAAAGCAGGGGACCGCAAGGCCUUGUGCUCCUGGAGCGGCCGAUAUCUGAUUAGCUAGUUGGUGAGGUAAAGGCUCACCAAGGCGACGAUCAGUAGCUGGUCUGAGAGGACGACCAGCCACACUGGAACUGAGACACGGUCCAGACUCCUACGGGAGGCAGCAGUGGGGAAUUUUGGACAAUGGGCGCAAGCCUGAUCCAGCAAUGCCGCGUGAGUGAAGAAGGCCUUCGGGUUGUAAAGCUCUUUUGUCAGGGAAGAAACGGUGGAGGUUAAUACCUUCCGCUAAUGACGGUACCUGAAGAAUAAGCACCGGCUAACUACGUGCCAGCAGCCGCGGUAAUACGGA